AACGCACAUUGCGCCCUCUGGUAUUCCGGGGGGCACACCUGUUCGAGCGUCAUUUCAACACUCAAGCCCAGCUUGGUAUUGGGCGCCGCCUACACGGGCGCGUCUUAAACUCCUCGGCGUCGCCGUCCGUCCCCAAGCGCAGCGAGAUUUAUUUCAGCGUGAGGAUCGGGCCGUGUCCGCCGUAGAACACCAAUUUUUCAGGUUGACCUCGGAUCAGGUGGGGAUACCCGCUGAACUUAA
Molecule: unclassified non-coding RNA, 240 nt
Filed under: uncultured fungus
Lineage: Eukaryota; Fungi
Description: partial contains 5.8S ribosomal RNA, internal transcribed spacer 2, and large subunit ribosomal RNA
Source: RNAcentral